AGUGAACGCUGGCGGCAUGCCUUACACAUGCAAGUCGAACGGUAACAGGUCUUCGGAUGCUGACGAGUGGCGAACGGGUGAGUAAUACAUCGGAACGUGCCUAGUAGUGGGGGAUAACUACUCGAAAGAGUGGCUAAUACCGCAUGAGAUCUACGGAUGAAAGCAGGGGAUCGCAAGACCUUGUGCUACUAGAGCGGCCGAUGGCAGAUUAGGUAGUUGGUGGGAUAAAAGCUUACCAAGCCGACGAUCUGUAGCUGGUCUGAGAGGACGAUCAGCCACACUGGGACUGAGACACGGCCCAGACUCCUACGGGAGGCAGCAAUGGGGAAUUUUGGACAAUGGGCGCAAGCCUGAUCCAGCAAUGCCGCGUGCAGGAUGAAGGCCUUCGGGUUGUAAACUGCUUUUGUACGGAACGAAAAGCCCCGGGUUAAUACCCUGGGGUCAUGACGGUACCGUAAGAAUAAGCACCGGCUAACUACGUGCCAGCCGCCGCGGUAA
This 498-nucleotide ribosomal RNA is filed under the name uncultured bacterium. Its description in RNAcentral is "partial 16S ribosomal RNA". It matches the Rfam family "Bacterial small subunit ribosomal RNA", at positions 29 to 523 of the family's 1533-position model. The record is from RNAcentral.